AUGUAUGGGUCAUAAAGAUCUUUGUGGCACUAGGAUGCAAAAGAAAAAAUUCCCUGCGCAUUCUGUCUUUGUGACGGCUCAGAUUAAAUUAGGGAAUACAUUU
Molecule: small nucleolar RNA, 103 nt
Organism: Nycticebus coucang (slow loris)
Lineage: Eukaryota; Metazoa; Chordata; Mammalia; Primates; Lorisidae
Product: small nucleolar RNA SNORA31
Exons: 1
Source: RefSeq, a predicted model, not a curated record